Molecule: ribosomal RNA, 460 nt
Filed under: uncultured bacterium
Lineage: Bacteria
Description: partial 16S ribosomal RNA
Rfam family: Bacterial small subunit ribosomal RNA
Source: RNAcentral
CCUACGGGUGGCAGCAGUGAGGAAUAUUGGUCAAUGGACGCGAGUCUGAACCAGCCAAGUAGCGUGCAGGAUGACUGCCCUAUGGGUUGUAAACUUCUUUUAUAUGGGAAUAAAAUGUGACACGUGUGGGUUUUUGUAUGUACCAUAUGAAUAAGGAUCGGCUAACUCCGUGCCAGCAGCCGCGGUAAUACGGAGGGUUCGAGCGUUAUCCGGAUUUAUUGGGUUUAAAGGGAGCGUAGGUGGAUUGUUAAGUCAGUUGUGAAAGCUUGCGGCUCAACCGUAAAAUUGCAUUUGAUACUGGCAGUCUUGAGUGCAGUAGAGGUGGGCGGAAUGCGUGGUGUAGCGGUGAAAUGCUUAGAUAUCACGAAGAACACCGAUUGCGAAGGCAGCUCACUGGACUGCAACUGACACUGAGGCUCGAAAGUGUGGGUAUCAAACAGGAUUAGAUACCCCUGUAGUC